RNAcentral lists this ribosomal RNA (300 nucleotides) under Triticum aestivum (bread wheat). Its description in RNAcentral is "partial small subunit ribosomal RNA". Lineage: Eukaryota; Viridiplantae; Streptophyta; Magnoliopsida; Poales; Poaceae. The record is from RNAcentral.
AUGGCAGGAGAACUUAACCUGGCAAGAGUUCAUAUUGAGAUAGACUGCCUAGACGUGGUACGGAAGCUGCAGAGUUCAAACGACGAUCUCUCCACAUUGGGGCCAAUGAUUAAGGAGGUUAAAAAUCUUCUUGCAACACGGGAGUGGAAGGUGACAUGGGUUCGGAGGACGGCCAAUGGUGUUGCGCAUCGGCUAGCAAAGGAAGGACUAGAGAAUAAUAGUAGUAAGAUCUGGGUGCUUGAUCCCCCAGAAUGUAUUUUGCAGUUUCUUUCGGCACAAAUCCCUGCCUUUCAUGACUAA